RNAcentral lists this unclassified non-coding RNA (442 nucleotides) under Hevea brasiliensis (rubber tree). Lineage: Eukaryota; Viridiplantae; Streptophyta; Magnoliopsida; Malpighiales; Euphorbiaceae. The record is from RNAcentral.
UUUACUCUGAUUUUGUUAGUUCUUUCCUAUAUAGUUUUCUAGUUUAGUUACUCUUUAAGGAUUUUCCUCAAGAGUUGUAUUUUCCAAUGUGCCAAGUAUUCAAGCUCCUUUUGGAUAUCAAAUAUCAAGUGCUGUUAACGUCAUUGUAGAGUGAAAAUGGUAAUUAUUAGCUGAACAAAAUUACAUGGACAUCAUAAUUGAGCAUAAACUUAUGAGUUUCCAAUGCUUUCAACUGUACAACAUGCACCGCAUGUCGUCUCCUUGCCGGUUAGUUGGACCAGUUCAACUUUUGCAUAAUUAUGACCCAACAUAACAGCUUAUUCUGGUGCUUUUGACUGUAGUAUAACAAUGCCGCUCUCAUUUGCAUGUUAUCUUAAAGAUCUAUUUACCCUAUGGUAUGAUGGCGAAAGGCCAUUUCAGAAAAGCCUUCUUUCUUUUCAGG